CCUACGGGUGGCUGCAGUGGGGAAUAUUGGACAAUGGGCGAAAGCCUGAUCCAGCCAUGCCGCGUGUGUGAAGAAGGCCUUCGGGUUGUAAAGCACUUUCAGUGGGGAAGAAAGCCUUGGGGCUAAUACCCUCGAGGAAGGACAUCACCCACAGAAGAAGCACCGGCUAACUCCGUGCCAGCAGCCGCGGUAAUACGGAGGGUGCGAGCGUUAAUCGGAAUUACUGGGCGUAAAGCGCGCGUAGGCGGUCUGAUAAGCCGGUUGUGAAAGCCCCGGGCUCAACCUGGGAACGGCAUCCGGAACUGUCAGGCUAGAGUGCAGGAGAGGAAGGUAGAAUUCCCGGUGUAGCGGUGAAAUGCGUAGAGAUCGGGAGGAAUACCAGUGGCGAAGGCGGCCUUCUGGACUGAGACUGACGCUGAGGUGCGAAAGCGUGGGUAGCAAACAGGAUUAGAUACCCUAGUAGUC
RNAcentral lists this ribosomal RNA (465 nucleotides) under Vreelandella stevensii. RNAcentral describes it as "partial 16S ribosomal RNA". It matches the Rfam family "Bacterial small subunit ribosomal RNA", at positions 338 to 795 of the family's 1533-position model. The record is from RNAcentral. Lineage: Bacteria; Pseudomonadati; Pseudomonadota; Gammaproteobacteria; Oceanospirillales; Halomonadaceae.